This 227-nucleotide ribosomal RNA is filed under the name uncultured bacterium. RNAcentral describes it as "partial 16S ribosomal RNA". It matches the Rfam family "Bacterial small subunit ribosomal RNA", at positions 15 to 235 of the family's 1533-position model. The record is from RNAcentral.
GAUUCUGGCUCAGGAUGAACGCUAGCUACAGGCUUAACACAUGCAAGUCGAGGGGCAGCAUGGGAUUAGCUUGCUAAUCCUGAUGGCGACCGGCGCACGGGUGCGUAACGCGUAUCCAACCUGCCCUCUACUCCGGAACAGCCCGUCGAAAGGCGGAUUAAUGCCGGAUGGUGUCACAUGCCCGCAUGAGUGUGUGACUAAAGGCAACGGUAGAGGAUGGGGAUGCG